GGCCCCCAAGCUGCGUUGACCCGCGCAGGCCUAGGCGGUUGCGAACUCCCGCCUUCUAGUCCCCGCGCGCUGACUUCCGGUCUUUUUCUACGUCGAUUGGUCAAAUCCUCUGGCUAUCGCGUCACGACCUUAAAGUGGAUUAGUUGGCCUUGUGGUCAGUCAUAGUGACCCCUGACAGCGGGAGACUUCAUUGGCGUUGUCAAGUGUCGGUCACUGUGUCACAGGACGUCGCGUGGUACCAUUGGUCUGUAAGGGCACUAUUCACCCCGCCCCCAUCUGAGGUGACGGGAAAGGGUUGGGGAAUUUCCACUUUUGAUAAAAAUGAAGGCUGAGGUGACGACUUGCAAGAAUUGGUGAGAUCUGGGGUAGAAUUCGCCAUGCGCUCAGGAAGCUCCUACGUCAGCCUCCUGAAUCCUGGCCUCACCUGAUGCCCAGGAAGCUGGGGGGCUCCCCCAGAGCACAGGCUCUGCUCUCUCUCCGAAGACUGUCCAUGUGGGCCAGGGAGAUGACAGUGGCUGAGACAUACCAGGGGAGCCCAAGCACUGAAGUGAGCAGCAUCAGCAAAGCCACACAGAAGAGGUCCAGGUGGAAGCCAGCUCCCUUCUGCAGGCAGGGCCCAAGGCCCAGAGCUAGUCCUCUCCCACAGAAAGAGAGUUGACACUCACCACAGAUGGGAAGAAGCGGCUUGUCUUGACAUGCUUGAAGGCCAUGGCAAAGAGGAAGG
Molecule: long non-coding RNA, 724 nt
Organism: Pipistrellus kuhlii (Kuhl's pipistrelle)
Lineage: Eukaryota; Metazoa; Chordata; Mammalia; Chiroptera; Vespertilionidae
Exons: 3
Source: RefSeq, a predicted model, not a curated record